CUUUUGGCUUUGUGACUGAUCUGUGAUUGCUCAUUACCCUGUUGUACGUGACCUGAAAGAAAAACGAGAUUCAAGGGUUGAAAACUAUCCUCUGGUGUUUUGUCUGCUGUUUCACGUGUGAACCAUUUGAAACACAAACUGAUCAACUUCAAUUCUCGAGAGAAUUCUUUCUUUAUUAGCAGAAUUGAUCAGUUUUCUCACGUAUAAAGUAGAUCAUUAAUCAAAAAGCAGUUAAUAGAAAUAAUAAAAUGAUUGGAGGUAUGAUAGAAUGAAAAAAAUCCGAAGUUGUAUUUCUUUCAUUAAAAAGGAUGUUUGUAAUAAUAAAAUUACUUUUAUUGAAGCAGUGUAAGUUGUAAUAUCUUUUCUAAUUAAAUAAUUUUAAUU
Molecule: long non-coding RNA, 384 nt
Organism: Apis dorsata (giant honeybee)
Lineage: Eukaryota; Metazoa; Arthropoda; Insecta; Hymenoptera; Apidae
Exons: 2
Source: RefSeq, a predicted model, not a curated record